GCGGGCGUGAUCUAGGGGUUAUGAUACAAGCUUCCCAAGCUUGUUGCCCGGGUUCGAUUCCCGGCGCCCGCA
Molecule: transfer RNA, 72 nt
Filed under: Thermoplasmatales archaeon
Lineage: Archaea; Methanobacteriati; Thermoplasmatota; Thermoplasmata; Thermoplasmatales
Also listed under: 1 other name
Description: tRNA-Gly
Rfam family: tRNA
About the family: Transfer RNA (tRNA) molecules are approximately 80 nucleotides in length. Their secondary structure includes four short double-helical elements and three loops (D, anti-codon, and T loops). Further hydrogen bonds mediate the characteristic L-shaped molecular structure. tRNAs have two regions of fundamental functional importance: the anti-codon, which is responsible for specific mRNA codon recognition, and the 3' end, to which the tRNAs corresponding amino acid is attached (by aminoacyl-tRNA synthetases). tRNAs cope with the degeneracy of the genetic code in two manners: having more than one tRNA (with a specific anti-codon) for a particular amino acid; and 'wobble' base-pairing, i.e. permitting non-standard base-pairing at the 3rd anti-codon position.
Source: RNAcentral